Molecule: ribosomal RNA, 476 nt
Filed under: uncultured bacterium
Lineage: Bacteria
Description: partial 16S ribosomal RNA
Rfam family: Bacterial small subunit ribosomal RNA
Source: RNAcentral
UGGGGAAUUUUGGACAAUGGGGGAAACCCUGAUCCAGCCAUCCCGCGUGUGCGAUGAAGGCCUUCGGGUUGUAAAGCACUUUUGGCAGGAAAGAAACGUCGCGGGUUAAUACCCCGCGAAACUGACGGUACCUGCAGAAUAAGCACCGGCUAACUACGUGCCAGCAGCCGCGGUAAUACGUAGGGUGCAAGCGUUAAUCGGAAUUACUGGGCGUAAAGCGUGCGCAGGCGGUUCGGAAAGAAAGAUGUGAAAUCCCAGAGCUUAACUUUGGAACUGCAUUUUUAACUACCGGGCUAGAGUGUGUCAGAGGGAGGUGGAAUUCCGCGUGUAGCAGUGAAAUGCGUAGAUAUGCGGAGGAACACCGAUGGCGAAGGCAGCCUCCUGGGAUAACACUGACGCUCAUGCACGAAAGCGUGGGGAGCAAACAGGAUUCAGAUACCCGUGGUAGUCCAACGCCCUAAACGAUGUCAACGUCA